Molecule: ribosomal RNA, 440 nt
Filed under: uncultured bacterium
Lineage: Bacteria
Description: partial 16S ribosomal RNA
Rfam family: Bacterial small subunit ribosomal RNA
Source: RNAcentral
CCUACGGGAGGCAGCAGUGGGGGAUAUUGCACAAUGGGGGGAACCCUGAUGCAGCGACGCCGCGUGGGUGAAGAAGCGCCUCGGCGCGUAAAGCCCUGUCAGCAGGGAAGAAAAUGACGGUACCUGAAGAAGAAGCCACGGCUAACGACGGGCCAGCAGCCGCGGUAAGACGUAGGGGGCAAGCGUGAUCCGGCUUUACUGGGGGUAAAGGGGGCGCAGACGGCGCUGCAAGCCAGGAGUGACAGCCCGGGGCCCCACCCCGGGACUGCUCUUGGAACUGCGUGGCUGGAGUGCAGGAGGGGCAGGCGGACUUCCUGGUGUAGCGGUGAAAUGCGUCGAUAUCAGGAGGAACACCGGUGGCGAAGGCGGCCUGCUGGACUGCAACUGACGUUGAGGCCCGAAAGCGUGGGGAGCAAACAGGAUUAGCUACCCCGGUAGUC